This is a long non-coding RNA of Lepidothrix coronata (blue-crowned manakin), 410 nucleotides long. RefSeq lists it as uncharacterized. NCBI's taxonomy places the organism in Eukaryota, Metazoa, Chordata, Aves, Passeriformes, Pipridae. The record is from RefSeq and is a predicted model, not a curated record. The transcript has 3 exons.
UUUGACUGUGGCUCUGAAGGCCAGGCCUUCAGACCUUGGGUGGAUCCCUAGGAUGUGACACAUGGCUUGAGCCUACUCUUGAGGUUCUCCAGUGAUCUGCUGGUUAGAGGCACAGCUCAUCUACCUGCAUAUUCUGGAGCUGAAAUGUCCACCUAUGGAGGAGGUUCAAUGAAUUUCGGAUUUGUACAACAGAAGAAGAAACAACGUGAUGAGAAGUCUAUCUCUUCAAAAGUCAUUGAAUGUAUUUGAAAGGUCAUUGCAUCACUGGACAGAAAGUUCUGUAAGGGAGAGCACAUAUGAUAUUUUCUAGGUCUGCCCUCAGCCAUCCCAGCUGGAUCCAGGAAGAGGAGGUGGGAUAGUUGCUAGGAAUUUGCAAAAUUGUGCAACAUACUGUUAUAUUUUAAAACGGU